RNAcentral lists this ribosomal RNA (253 nucleotides) under uncultured bacterium. Its description in RNAcentral is "partial 16S ribosomal RNA". It matches the Rfam family "Bacterial small subunit ribosomal RNA", at positions 524 to 776 of the family's 1533-position model. The record is from RNAcentral.
UACGGAGGGGGCUAGCGUUGUUCGGAAUUACUGGGCGUAAAGCGCGCGUAGGCGGACCUGCAAGUCGGGGGUGAAAGCCCGAGGCUCAACCUCGGAACUGCCUUCGAUACUGCGGGUCUCGAGUCCGGGAGAGGUGAGUGGAAUUCCUAGUGUAGAGGUGAAAUUCGUAGAUAUUCGCAAGAACACCAGUGGCGAAGGCGGCUCACUGGUCCGGUACUGACGCUGAGGUGCGAAAGCGUGGGGAGCGAUCCGG